UAACAGAGAGUUUGAUCCUGGCUCAGAUUGAACGCUGGCGGAUCUUUACAUGCAAGUCGAACGGCAGCACGGACUUCGGUCUGGUGGCGAGUGGCGAACGGGUGAGUAAUGUAUCGGAACGUGCUAUUGUUUGGGGAUAACUACGCGAAAGCGUAGCUAAUACCACAUACGCCCUUCUGAGGGGAAAGCAGGGGACCUUCCCGGGCCUCGCACUAUUAGAGCAGCCGAUAUCGGAUUAGCUAGUUGGUGGGAGUAACGGCUCACCAAGGCGACGAUCCGUAGCUGGUUUGAGAGGACGACCAGCCACACUGGGACUGAGACACGGCCCAGACUCCUACGGAGAACGGCGGUGGGGAAUUUUGGACAAUGGGGAAACCUGAUCCAGCCAUCCCGCGUGUGCGAUGAAGGCCUUCGGGUUGUAAAGCACUUUUGGCAGGAAAGAAACGGCACGGGAUAAUACCCAACUGACGGUACCUGCAGAAUAAGCACCGGCUAACUACGUGCCAGCAGCCGCGGUAAUACGUAGGGUGCAAGCGUUAAUCAGAUUACUGGGCGUAAAAUGCGCAGGCGGUUCGGAAGAAAGAUGUAGAAAUCCCAGAAACAACUUUGGAACUGCAUUUUUAACUACCGAGCUAGAGUGUCGGGGAGGUGGAAUUCACGCGUGUAGCAGUGAAAUGCGUAGAUAUGCGGAGGAGGAAUUACGAUGGCGAAGGCAGCCUCCUGGGAUAACACUGACGCUCAUGCACGAAAGCGUGGAGCAAACAGGAUUAGAUACCCUGGUAGUCCGCCUAAACGAUGUCAACUAGCUGUUGGGGCCUUCGGGCCUUGGUAGCGCAGCUAACGCGUGAAGUUGACCGCCUGGGAAGUACAGUCGCAAGAUUAAAACUCAAAGGAAUUGACGGGGACGCACAAGCGGUGGAUGAUGUGGAUUAAUUCGAUGCAACGCGAAAAACCUUACCUACCCUUGACAUGUCUGGAAUCCCGAAGAGAUUUGGGAGUGCUCGCAAGAGAACCGGAACACAGGUGCUGUGGUAUCGUCAGCUCGUGUCGUGAGAUGUUAGGUUAAGUCCCGCAACGAGCACAACCCUUGUCAUUAGUUGCUACGAAAGGGCACUCUAAUGAGACUGCCGGUGACAAACCGGAGGAAGGUGGGGAUGACGUCAAGUCCUCAUAGCCCUUAUGGGUGGGGCUUCACGUCAUACAAUGGUCGGGACAGAGGGGUCGCCAACCCGCGAGAGGCCAGAAACCCGAUCGUAGUCCGGAUCGCAGUCUUCUGCAGCUGCUGACUGCGUGAAGUCGGAAUCGCUAAUCGCGGAUCAGCAUGUCGCGGUGGUCGUUCCCGGGUCUUGUACACACACCGCCCGUCACACCAUGGGAGUGGGUUUGCAAGUAGUUAUGGCCCUAACCGUAAGGAGGGCGAUUACCACGGUGAUUCAUGACUGGGGUGAAGUCGUAACAAGGUAG
This 1464-nucleotide ribosomal RNA is filed under the name uncultured Bordetella sp. RNAcentral's name for it is "partial 16S-23S ribosomal RNA intergenic spacer". It matches the Rfam family "Bacterial small subunit ribosomal RNA". Lineage: Bacteria; Pseudomonadati; Pseudomonadota; Betaproteobacteria; Burkholderiales; Alcaligenaceae. The record is from RNAcentral.